This 468-nucleotide ribosomal RNA is filed under the name uncultured bacterium. RNAcentral describes it as "partial 16S ribosomal RNA". It matches the Rfam family "Bacterial small subunit ribosomal RNA", at positions 28 to 507 of the family's 1533-position model. The record is from RNAcentral.
GACGAACGCUGGCGGCGUGCUUAACACAUGCCAGUCGAACGGAAAGGCCCUGCUUUUGUGGGGUGCUCGAGUGGCGAACGGGUGAGUAACACGUGAGUAACCUGCCCUUGACUUUGGGAUAACUUCAGGAAACUGGGGCUAAUACCGGCUAGGAGCUCCUGCUGCAUGGUGGGGGUUGGAAAGUUUCGGCGGUUGGGGAUGGACUCGCGGCUUAUCAGCUUGUUGGUGGGGUAGUGGCUUACCAAGGCUUUGACGGGUAGCCGGCCUGAGAGGGUGACCGGCGACAUUGGGACUGAGGUACGGCCCAGACUCCUACGGGAGGCAGCAGUGGGGAAUAUUGCACAAUGGGCGGAAGCCUGAUGCAGCAACGCCGCGUGCGGGAUGACGGCCUUCGGGUUGUAAACCGCUUUCGCCUGUGACGAAGCGUGAGUGACGGUAAUGGGUAAAGAAGCACCGGCUAACUACGUG